UGAUUGGUGCCGGACUCAACCCUUGCGACUGUAAACGUGACUAAUAAUAAACCGUGAAAUCUGCACUGCUGUGUCAAGAGUGAAUCUAGCACGCGCUUCAGCGUCAUCCUCUCCAUCUGAUCAUAACAUACGUCUUAGGUUUUGGCUUUGAUCCCGUUGCUUUUACAGUAUUCUUCUUAAAAGAGCUGUGAGAAGCUAUUGUCAAGAUGCCUCACUGCACAACAGGAGCUUCCUGUGUAGAUCAUUAACAGGCCCCCGUGUGCUAGAGAGAAGCCCUAUCACCAUAACAACUCUGCUUCUGGGAUCUUGGGGUGCAGAGCUGUGUCAGUAUCCAUAAGUGAAAGAUAAUGAUGAUGAGGGUCACACAGUAGGGGCCGGAUACACGCGAUAUGCUGAGAUCACGAUGAGACAGAGUUUACCUGCGAGGAGGCUGACACCUGUGAAAAAAACAUACAUUAAGGUUUUCUUAGUCUUGGCAUCACAAUGCAAGAGAAACCAUGUCAGGUAGUUGAUGAGAGAAGAUAAGAUACUGUUACAUAGG
Molecule: non-coding RNA, 541 nt
Organism: Misgurnus anguillicaudatus (oriental weatherfish)
Lineage: Eukaryota; Metazoa; Chordata; Actinopteri; Cypriniformes; Cobitidae
Source: RefSeq, a predicted model, not a curated record